RNAcentral lists this ribosomal RNA (213 nucleotides) under uncultured bacterium. Its description in RNAcentral is "partial 16S ribosomal RNA". It matches the Rfam family "Bacterial small subunit ribosomal RNA", at positions 28 to 242 of the family's 1533-position model. The record is from RNAcentral.
GACGAACGCUGGCGGCGUGCUUAACACAUGCAAGUCGAGCGGUAAGGCCCUUUCGGGGGUACACGAGCGGCGAACGGGUGAGUAACACGUGGGUGACCUGCCCUUAGCUCUGGGAUAAGCCUGGGAAACUGGGUCUAAUACCGGAUAUGACCUCAUGACGCAUGUUGUGGGGUGGAAAGCCUUGUGCGGCUAGGGAUGGGCCCGCGGCCUAUC